GUCCACGCCCUAAACGAUGGGCACUAGGUGUGGGAGGUAUCGACCCCUUCCGUGCCGCAGCUAACGCAUUAAGUGCCCCGCCUGGGGAGUACGGCCGCAAGGUUGAAACUCAAAGGAAUUGACGGGGGCCCGCACAAGCGGUGGUGCAUGUGGUUUAAUUCGACGCAACGCGAAGAACCUUACCUGGGCUUGACAUCCCUGGAACCUCCUGGAAACAGGGGGUGCCGCAAGGAGCCAGGAGACAGGUGCUGCAUGGCUGUCGU
RNAcentral lists this ribosomal RNA (263 nucleotides) under uncultured bacterium. Its description in RNAcentral is "partial 16S ribosomal RNA". It matches the Rfam family "Bacterial small subunit ribosomal RNA", at positions 793 to 1055 of the family's 1533-position model. The record is from RNAcentral.